Molecule: ribosomal RNA, 2729 nt
Filed under: Didymosphenia geminata (rock snot)
Lineage: Eukaryota; Bacillariophyta; Bacillariophyceae; Cymbellales; Cymbellaceae
Description: bacterial LSU rRNA
Rfam family: Bacterial large subunit ribosomal RNA
Source: RNAcentral
GUUCUUAAAGCAUUAAAUGGAUUCCUAAACAUUAAAAUUUAUAUGGACGUUUACUGACGAAAUGUUAUGGUGAGUAAAAUUUUUGCUGUGAUCUAAAACUAUCCAUAUGUAGAAAACUAUACUUUGUUAGAUAAAAGUGUAUUUUAAUAUAAUUAAAAUAUAAAAACUUAGUGAACUGAACCAUCUAAGUAACUAAGCAAAAAAAUCAACUGAGAUGCCGUUAGUAGUGGCGAGCGAAACCGGUAGGGGCCAAAAAUUUUUUUUUAGUCUAAUUAUCUAUAAGCCAAAGAAGGUUAAGCCCUGUAAGGCAAAGAAAAAAAAUUUUAAAUUAGUAAAAUGGUACAAGUCGUGUACUGUUUGAAUAUUGGGGGACCACCCUCAAAGCCUAAAAAUUUUAAUGAUUGAUAGUGAACUAGUACUGUGAAGGAAAGGUGAAAUAGAAUUUGCGAAAAUUGAAAAGAUAAUGAAAUUUAAUGCUGACAAUCAGUUAGAGCCUCGUUUAAGGUGAUAACGUACCUUUUGUAUAAUGGAUCAACAAGUUUAUUUUAGUGGCGAGCUUAACUGCUUUAACAGGUAGGCGUAAAGAAAUUGAGUAUUAAAAUGCGUUUUAAGUCUCUAAAAUAAAACCCGAAACUAAGUGAUCUAACCAUGAACAGGUUGAAUUUAAAGCGGUAACGCUUAUUGGAGGACCGAACCCGUGUAUGUAGAAAAAUACUGGGAUGAUUUGUGGUUAGGAGUGAAAGGCUAAUCAAACUUAGAGAUAGCUGGUUUUCUGCGAAAUCUAUUUAAGUAGAGCGACUAAAUAACUUUAUUUUUAGGUAGAGCUCUUGUUAAGCAAUGGGGAUGAAAAUCUUACUGAGUUUAGUGAAACUUCGAAUAAAAAAUAAAAGAUUUUAGUUAGACAGACUAUGAGUGCUAAGAUUCAUAGUCAAGAGGGAAACAGCCCAGAUUAAUGGUUAAGGUCCUUAAAAAUAAUUAAGUGAAGAAAAUGUUAAUAGAUGUUGACAACCAGUAGGUUUGCUUAGAAGCAGCAAUCCUUUAAAAAUAGCGUAAUAGCUUCCUGGUCUAGUUUAUUUGCGUUGAAAAUGUAAAGGGACUUAAAUUAUUUACCGAAGCCGUAAAUUUAUUGUUUAUAACAGUAAAUGGUAGCAGAACGUUCUGUAAGUCAACGAAGAUUUAUGGUAACAUAAGUUGGAGAUAUCAGAAGUGAGAAUGUUGAUAUGAGUAGCGAUAAACAGUGUGAAAAACAUUGUCGCCUUAAGUCUUAGGUUUCCAAAACAAGGCUAAUCCGUUUUGGUAUAGUUAAUCGGUCUCUAAGAGCAUAACGAAAGUUUAUCCUCGAUGAGUAAAAUAUAAUUAUUAAUUAUAAGUGACAAAUUAGGAAUGUAAUUUAUAUUGUAUGGUUAAAAUAUAAGUUGUAUACUAAUUUCAAGAAAUAGCUUCUAGUUGUUAAAACCGUACCUUAAACCGACACAGGUAGACAAAUUGAGCAAAUUAAGGCGCUUGAGUUAAUUAUGUUGAAGGAACUCGGCAAAAUGACUUCGUAACAUUGGAUAAGAAGUAACUUUAUUAGGGCAACCUUUUAAAGCUGACACAAAAUCGGGGACAGCGACUGCUUAAUAAAAGCACAGGUCUCUGCUAAUUUGUAAAAAGAUGUAUUGAGACUGACGCCUGCCCAGUGCUGUAAGAUUAAAAAAGAAAGUAUUUUGCUUUUUUUCUAACUCCCAGUAAACGGCGGCUGUAAUUCUGACGGUCCUAAGGUAGCGAAAUUCCUUGGCAUUUAAUUGGUGUCCUGCAUGAAUGGCGUAACGACUGUCCCACUGUCUCCAGCAUAAGCUCAGUGAAAUUGAAAUUUCCGUGAAGAUGCGGAAUACCUGCGGCUAGACGGAAAGACCCCGUGCACCUUUACUAUAAUUAUGCAUUGAGGUAAAAUUUGUUAUGUAUAGAAUAAGUGGGAGUUUAAGUAAACUGUCUAACAGUUUAUAUUACAAAAUCUUUGCGUAAGCAAAUCAUUUUAAACAAAAGUGAAAUACCACUCUUAGCAUUUUUUAUUUCUAAUUGUAAAACACAGUGUAUAAUGGGUAGUUUGACUGGGGCGGUCGCCUCCUAAAGAGUAACGGAGGCGCAUAAAGGUAAAUUUAAAUUGAAUUUAACAAUUUGUACGCGUAAUAGUAUAUGUUUGCUUGACUGUAAGAUUGACAAAUCAAGCAGGGACGAAAGUCGGUUAUAGUGAUCCGAUGAUUCUGUGUGGAAAUGAUCAUCGCUCAACGAAUAAAAGGUACGCCGGGGAUAACAGGCUAAUCAUUCUCUAGAGACCCUAUCGACGGAAUGGUUUGGCACCUCGAUGUUGGAUUAUCGCAUCCUGGAGCUGUAAGUGGUUCCAAGGGUUUGGCUGUUCGCCAAGAAAAGCGGUACAUGAUCUGAGUUUAGAACGUCGUGAGACAGUUUGGUCCCUAUCUACCGUGGGUGUUGAAAAUUGAGAGGACUAGACCCUAGUACGAGAGGACUGGGAAAAGCGAAUCUCUGGUGAAACGAUUGUUAGACCAAUAGCACCGUCGUGUAGCUAAAUUCGUAAUAAAUAAUCGCUGAAAGCAUCUAAGCGAGAAAUUAACCUCAAAACUAGUUUUUAAAAAUAUGUAAAAGAUUAUUACAUAGAUAGGCUUAAAGUGUAAGAAUUGUAAAAUUUUUAGCUGAUAAGUACUAAAAUAAUUAUUAAUCAACUUUUUAAC